GGCCAGGCAGGUGAGGGCAGGGCACAGGGCUUGUGUAGAGUUGCUGAGAAGGGCACUCUGGAGGAAGAGUAGAUGGGUCAAGGCCUCUGUCUGUUCUUCCUCAAGACGUUCUGGGGUUGGACUGCACCUCAUCUCUGAAGCAGUCUGGGCUUCUCCAGGUCCUGGUCCCCUCUCUCCCCACCUCCUCUAUCUCUGUUCACUCCUUUCUAAGCCUCUGUCUUUGAUUUUGUUUCUGUCUUAGAAGAGAAGCAAAUACCACUCAAAUUGGGGCAUGUGCACAAAAGAGCGGCCAUUCUCCCCCCCCAGAGCCAUGGAUUUCUCAGGGAAAGCAAGGGGCCCUUUCAGAAAUUUGUGUGCUGGGUCCAGACCACAGCCUGGGCCCUCUGCCUCUUCUCUCUCCCUGAACCUCUGGAUGGGCCGUCUGGAUGCCACAUGUGUUUCUCUGCCCCUUUACUAAUCACUGUCUCUCCCUGGGGGCACAAAGGGAACCCUGACAGUUUCCUGGAUUUGUCCAGACCUUUAUGGGAUCUUAAAAGGAAGUGGGUGUGGAAAUGGGAUGUUUGGGGUGGAGCCUGGGUGGAGAAAAAGGAGAGGGAGGAGUUGGGGUGGGGGCUCCCAGGAGUGGGCCCUCUUUCUCUGCUGAGGAGGAAGCCCACAGAGAAACAUGGGCUGUGGGCUGAUCCAGAGGGAGGGGGCGGUGGGCUGGACCUGUGCUAUGAAAACUAAGCUGAUAUCCCAGCGCCCUUACCCCACUACUGUCCCCCUACCCCAAAACCCUGCAGGGCUCAGGGCACAGGUAGGAAGGUGACAGCUUCGUUUAUGGGCCCCAAACUGCAAGGAGGUGGCAAUUAGCCCUCAGUGGGUCAAAGGAGAGCAACAAUGUGCCCUGCCUUUUGAGGCUUUGAGGGGCCCCGGUGUGGAGCCCUCAAAAGUGGCUUGGCUAUUCUAGGAGCAUCUAGGCCCUCAGUCUUUCCCAACUCCCAUCUCCUAGACUCCAAAACCAGGACCCGCCCCUGGCCCAGUAAAACUGCCUCGGAUGGACCCCAUCUUCUACUGCAAUUUAGUGUCAGCCCCACUCAUUGCUAAUAGCUUCCUGCAUCCCCUCUCCAAAUGCCUUUCUGGGGGCUUGACCAGGUGGUGAGCUUAGGUUGUGGAGCAGGAUUUCAGAGGUUACAUUUGUCACAGGAUUAAGUUGUUCCAUAUCCCUCAGAUGGGCUCGUGCAUAUUUGGAACUCUCCCCCAAAUCUUGGGACCCCAAUCUACAUGUGCCAUUGGUAUUCUCCCAGAGUGAAGGGAUGCAAUUCUAGCCAAACUUCGAUUUAGUGCAUGCAGGCUGAAGUCUUUCUACAUCAUAAAUAAAACCUCAUUUUUGAUCCCCAUGAAUCCCCCUGCCUAUACAGCUUUACCCACGUUCUAACCCUAACCCAAGCCUAUUCUAACUCGAGUCCCAAACUCAAUUCUAACCCAGCUGUAACCCGAAUCCUAAAUAAAUCUCAACCCAGCCUUCAGUUUAGCUCUAACUGCAUUCCCAAGCACAGCUAUAUGAAACUAAAACCCUGUUUACCAUAACCCGAAUCCCAGUCAUGAACCCUAGCCUCAGUUCUAGCUGUCAUUCUAACCCUAAUCUCAACCUUCAUUCCCAUCCCAACCUCAAAUCUGACCUCAACCUCAUUCAUAAUUCCAAUUGACCAACCCCAAUCUUAACCCCAACUCCAGCCUUCUCCCCAACUCCAACAUUUGCCCAAAUCCAGAUUCAAUUUAACUCGAACCCCACCUUCAGUUUAAUGGACCCUCAACCUCACUACUUUCUUUGCAGUCUCCCUCUUCCCGGUCCCAUCCGUUCUCCCCUCCACCCAUCCCUGACCUUCCCCACGGGUGGGUCUAGUAACCCACAGGGUCACCAAGCUAUUUUCUUGGACCACUCUGGAUUGAAAGUCAGAAUGCCUGGGUGUCUCCCUCUUAGUCAAGCCACAGUAGCAUCACCUGGGCUGACUCCUCCUGUUUCUCCAGGCCAUUGUUUCCCCCCUAUAAAGUGGGGAUAAUGAUCCCUGCUCUCCAGAGUGUGCAGGACAAUCCUGUAAACCCCCAAAAUAAACAAGGAAAUGAAAAUAUUCAUUGUGUACAUCUGGUGGGUGCCAGAGCACCCUGUUAUUGUUGGGAGAGCAGGGCGAGGGGUUUGGAAUGCAGAGAUGCGUGGACUCCUUGUCCUUCCUUAUUGUUCUGUCUUAUUUUUCCUGGAGGGGUGGGCUCAGCAUCCCUGAGCCCCAUAACUCUCCCCAAGACUCUUUCCUCACUGCUCUUCCUGUGCCCCCUGUCAGGGAUGGGGGAAGGCCCUUGACUCCUCUGAGGGAGUUGAGCUGUUGAAUGGGGCCAUUCACUGUGUGUGGGGGCAGUCCUGGAGUCCAGGGAGGCUCAAGGCCUGUUCUGGGAACCCCUGGACCCACUAGCAAGCGCAGGCCCUCCACUUUCUCUCUCUGCCCACCAGGACCCUCCCCACCCCAGCUCCAACCUUCCCAGAACUGUACUGGCUUAGCCACUUGACGAGCAGUCCCGGUUAUGAGGGUCCUUGGUCUCCUUUUUUGUGCAUAGAAGCACAGACACCAAAUGAUCCCUACAACAAGUCCACACAGAGGGGCUCAGCCCUUCUCGACAUGAUGCACGGGCAUGUCCCAGUGAGUGGGUGCACACGUACACAGGCACAACCCUUCCAGGCCCUCCUGGUGCUAUUCCCUCCAGCAUCCCCUGACCCACCCCAUCCACUCACCUCGCUCUGUCCACACUCCCUGAUACCUCUCCUUCAGGCCUCACUGAACUGGUUUUAGUUCUGUGUGGGAGGUGAGGGGCUGGAUCCCUCAUAAUGCCACCAGCUUCCAGGGAUUCCCCUAUGCUCAGGGAUGACCUUGCAUCAGGGAUGGAUUGGGGCACAACUCCAGAGGGGGCGGCCAGGGGAAGACCAUGUUCCCUCACACACCCCUUCCCUCCCUCUUUCAGCUCAGGAGGGCUGACUCCCUUUGAAGUCCUGGGUCCCUUUCAUCUGGCUGGGCCUCCCCUCCAGCCCCAGUGCCCCCUUCCCUGCUGCCUCAACCUGGGGUCGGGGGGUGGGGACCCUGGAGAGUCGUGGAUAUAUAUGUGAAGGCGUGGGGAUGUGGAAUGCUGGAGGCUGCACUGGGAGGGUGUGUUGGACACCUGUGCCCUGGGGUGAGUGUUGACCCUUCAAGGCCUGGCCAGCCUUCCAUCCCAAGCCUGGCUUCUCCUUCCUCUUCUCCAUUUCCCCUGGGGAAGGAGGCAACAAAUGAGUGGUGAGGGGAACUCUGUGGACGCUGUGAAAUGGGGCGACUGUUGUCACCUCGAGGAUGUGGCCAGGAGGAAGUGGAAAUUUAACAGAUGCCUAAUUACAAGUCCCACUGGCCUCCCUGAGCCACUCUCGGGAUAGGGAAGAGCUUGGGUAAGGGCUGGGUAAUGCCUGGGUAGGCCACUCUGUCACCCCGCUAAUUAGGUUUCCUGGGACUCCUCCCCAAGGCGGGGACCAGGCCCCCUCCCUCCCAUAGAAAUAACUCUGGCUGCUCCCCAGCUGGGCACUCAUUGCACCUUCCUGCCACCCUGGGCAGUGUCUGGGUCCUCAGCUCCCCCUCCCUCCACACACCACCACUGGCCCACCGCCAGCGGCCCCCGGGAUACCCAGCCCAGGCGGAGGAAACACCGAGCCUAGAGACAUGGGAGUUCGAGGAGCAUUCCACCUUCUACUCGUGUGCCUGAGCCCAGCACUGCUGUCUGCUGUGCGGAUCAACGGGGAUGGCCAGGAGAUCCUGUACCUGGCGGAAGGUGAUAAUGUGAGACUGGGCUGCCCCUACAUCCUGGACCCUGAGGACUAUGGUCCCAAUGGGCUGGACAUUGAGUGGAUGCAGGUCAACUCAGACCCUUCACAUCGGGAGAAUGUGUUCCUUAGCUACCAGGACAAGAGGAUCAACCAUGGCAACCUCCCCCAUCUGCAGCAGAGGGUCCGCUUUGCAGCCUCAGACCCCAGCCAGUAUGAUGCCUCCAUCAACCUCAUGAACCUGCAGGUAUCUGACACAGCCACCUAUGAGUGCCGGGUGAAGAAGACCACCAUGGCCACUCGGAAGGUCAUCGUCACCGUCCAAGCACGGCCUGCGGUGCCCGUGUGCUGGACUGAGGGCCACCUGACACACGGCAACGACGUGGUGCUGAAAUGCUUUGCCAAUGGGGGCACUCCACCUCUCUCCUACAAGUGGGCCAAGAUCAGUGGGCACAGCCGCCCCUACCGUGCUGGGUCCUACCAUUCACAGCAGAGCUUCCACUCUGAGCUCUCUUACCAGGAGUCCUUCCACAGCAACCUGAAUCAAGUUGCAGGCCUGAGCAAUGGUGACCUGGUGUUGAACGACAUCUCCUACAAGGAUGACGGGCUGUACCAGUGCACAGUGGCCAACCAUGUGGGCUACAGUGUGUGUGUGGUGGAGGUGAAGGUCUCAGACACCGGGCGCAUAGGCAUCAUCAUCGGCGCAGUGCUGGGCUCUUUGCUCAUACUGGCCUGCCUGUCGGUGGGCAUCUGGGGGCUCAUCUGCUGCUGCUGCGGCGGCGCCGGGGUUGGCGGCGCCCGCGAUGCCUUCGGCUACCGCAACGGCGGCGGCGGCGGCGGGGUCGGCGGAGGGGCCUGCGGCGACUUGGCUAGUGAGAUCAGAGAGGACGCCGUGGCGCCGGGGUACAAAGCCAGCUGGCGCGGCAGCCGCGUCACCCAGCUCCUGGGGUACCCGACGCAGAACGUCAGCCGCUCCCUGCGCCGCAAGUACGCGCCUCCGCCCUGCGGCGGCCCCGAGGACGUGGCCCUGGCGCCCCUCCCCGCCGCCGCCGCCGCCGCCUGCGAAGCGGGCCCCUCCCCAGUCUACGUCAAGGUCAAGAGCGCCGAGCCCGCCGACUGCGCCCAGGCGCCGCUGCCGGGCAAGGACGGCCUCUUUGUAAGGUCAGAAGAGACGAAACAAGGGGCUGGCAGAGAUGACCUCUCUGAAUGUUCCUGGACCAUUCUGAGCAUCUUUCUUCCUCCUCCCCUCAUCUCUCUGUUCCUGACUUCCUCAUCUCUACCAGAUGUCUGCUUUCCUUCUCAACAACCAGGAAGGCUUUCAGAGUCAUGCUUGUAAGGUAGAAAGACCUUCAAGAUCAUCUAACCUAGGCCUGUUUUAAUGGAAAGGGGAUGGACAUUUAUUGGGCACCAACUAAGUACCAGGCUCUCGAGACAGACAGCACUCGGGGCUCCACCUAGACAGUCCACGUGGGACUCUGAAUGCUGCAGGAGCGGGCAUGAGUUGUGAUAGAUUCCCUGAGCAACAUACUGAGAAAAGCGUCAGAAGAAAGGAAACCAGAAUAAGUCGUCUUUGUAGGAAGCACAACUUGUUUCUGACACACUAGCCAAAUCCUUUCAUUGGUCUCUUUUGUUCCACUGUCUAUGCAUUCAUUCUUUCUUUCAUUUUUAAUUCAUUCUUCAUGUUGGAAGGGUCUUAAGGAUUAUCGAGGGUGGGAAUGGCAAAUAGGUUUCAUCUUGGCUUCCCACUUCAAUUAAUUGGUCAGAAUUACUUGAGCAUUGUGCCAUAUGUGGACUCAGUGGCAAAAAUGUGUUAUCACUAAUUAUCCACGUCUGAGAUGGUGCUGGAAGGUGGAAGUCUGGAUAUAUAUACCACAUAUUUGUCAUUUCUGAUCGAAUGCAACUCCCCACCUAAUAUGAAAAGUCUCUAGUCUCUAGUAUUGCCCUGAGAUGGUUUCUGCUUAGGCACAUUCAUUAAAACGGCUCACUUCAUAUUUGGAUUUCUCCAUUUGCUAGAAAGUUCUUCCCUGGUAGUAUGGUGGAGGGUAAGGGCCUGGACUGAUUUAGAUAACCUAAAACUAAUUCUGACUCUGCCACUGGUAGAUUCUGUAAUUCUAGGGAGUAACAAUCUCUUUGGGCCUCAGUUUUCCACCUGAGAAAUGAAAAACUUGAACUGAGUAACCACAAAGUUUCCUUCCAGCUUAAGAUCCUGUUAUUCAUAUGAGUCAAUAUCUGCCUCACAGUGACAUGUUCCUCAGUUAAAUAGUCUAGCCUCUGUGAGAGCACUUCAAAUAUCUGUGGACUUAUGCCCCUCUGAGUUUCUUGUUCUAGAUUGAACAUGACUGGUUUUUUCAGUCAUUUCUCUUACGAUAAGGUCUCUAGACUUUUCACCAUUCUGGUCAUUCUCUUCUAGACACUGAGUUUUUCAGUGUCUCCCUGGAAGUGUGGCUCCCAGAACUGGAUGCAGGCUGGUCAUGCGUGGGAGUAUUCUCACUACUUACCCAUGGGCUCAGCCUGCCCCUCCUGGCAGAUGGGACCCAUGUUGAGCAGUGCACAGCGUGAGGGGAGGCACCCAUUAAAACUUGCUCAGAUCUGGGGAUAGCUGUACUGUGCAGUUUGAGAGGCACUCCUUCAGUCUGCAUGCAGAAAAGAUGCAAGGAGCCCUGGAGUCAAAUCUGGAAGGAAAUGGUGCUUCCCCCGAAGACCAGUAAGUAACCUAGUACUGAGUAACUGAACAGAUGCUACUUCUUCAUAAACAUGAAAGGAAGAUUUGCCAGAGAUGUCAUUAAUGUUUGCAGCAUCUUUUUUAAAAAAUGAGGCAUUGGGUGCUUGUAUCUCCAUUGAUGAAAAAUAAAUGUCUCGCUAACCCUUCUCUCUUGCUCUGCCCCCUCUCCCUUCUCUCCGACAUUAUGUCACAUGACUCCUUUGUCCUAGCAGCGCUUGUAUUUGUUCUUUGCACAGAAGAAUAGGUACAAAGGCUUUUGCUCAAGGAAAAUAAGAUGAAAACAAGAAAAAGCAAAAGCAGAUUUGGAGAGGAUUCUGGUCUGACCACGAGCCUACUGGAAGUAGUGGUGCAAAGGUUGUCGUGGGAGGAGUCUGACACCCACACAGAAGGGAGCUCUCCUGUCCACCCCAACCCCAGGCAAGGGUGUUCUGAAGACCGCGAGGUCUCACGUGCUCUGGUUUUAAGCCAUCACUCUGACCCUUUCCCUUCCACCUCCCACCCCCUCCUGCCACUCAGCCAUCCUGGCCUCCACUCUUCAUAAACAUCAACCGUACUGCCACUCAGGGCUUUUGCAUCUCUGGUCUCUGUUUGGAACGCUCUUUGCCCAGUCACUGCAUGGCUCAUUCUACUUUACUGGGUUCCUGUUCAAGUGUCACCUCAUCAGAAGGUGUUCUCUGAUUGCCUUAUCUAAGAUGGACCCCUUCUCCCCAACACAUCAUUCUUCAGCCUUUUGCUCUGCCUUAUCUUUCUUCUUGUUUUUUUUUUUU
Non-coding RNA from Equus caballus (horse), 7303 nucleotides. The record is from RefSeq and is a predicted model, not a curated record. Lineage: Eukaryota; Metazoa; Chordata; Mammalia; Perissodactyla; Equidae.